This is a long non-coding RNA of Diorhabda carinulata, 574 nucleotides long. RefSeq lists it as uncharacterized. Lineage: Eukaryota; Metazoa; Arthropoda; Insecta; Coleoptera; Chrysomelidae. The record is from RefSeq and is a predicted model, not a curated record. The transcript is spliced from 2 exons.
CUAAUAUCCAAGUGAUAUUGUUUAUGAAAAGUUUGAUGUGAAAAGUUAUUCGUUUUAUUUUAUUUAAUAUCAAUAUAUAAUGUUUGUGAUAUAAUGAUAAUGCAAUUUAUACAAGUGGUGGGCUUUGAAUUAAACGAAGUUGACGAACCGUGCUGGUAAGGGAUUAAAAAUUAUCCGCAAUGUUAGUCCCAUUCUUGAUUCUUUCAAUACCUCUUCGAAUACAAAACGUCAUAGGACCGCAUCUAACACGAAAUACAAAUAGUCACAAUGUACAUGGAGAAUACUUACUUUGAUAUGAAUCCGAGCCGCUCGUCUCAAUACACACACGUUCUUCAAGCUUCAUUUUUCGUCCUACAUUGUUAGUUGUUUAAAAUAAACAAAAUUUAUUCAGUUAGAAAAAUUUUUAUUCAUAUAAAUGUAGAAUAUUUAACUAGAGAUUAGGGAAUUUUACGGUAUAAUUCAUAAAGAUGUCAGAAUUUCGUUUGACAGUUUGACACUUUCCGCCAUUUUGUAUGCAUAGUUUCCGUUUGUAUAAAUGACGAUUUUUUUUUGUAAAUUAAAUUAAUUUAGAAAA